RNAcentral lists this ribosomal RNA (349 nucleotides) under uncultured microorganism. Its description in RNAcentral is "bacterial SSU rRNA". It matches the Rfam family "Bacterial small subunit ribosomal RNA", at positions 9 to 346 of the family's 1533-position model. The record is from RNAcentral.
GAGUUUGAUCGUGGCUCAGAUUGAACGCUGGCGGCAUGCCUUACACAUGCAAGUCGAACGGCAGCAUGAUCUAGCUUGCUAGAUUGAUGGCGAGUGGCGAACGGGUGAGUAAUACAUCGGAACGUGCCCUGUAGUGGGGGAUAACUAGUCGAAAGAUUAGCUAAUACCGCAUACGACCUGAGGGUGAAAGUGGGGGACCGCAAGGCCUCAUGCUAUAGGAGCGGCCGAUGUCUGAUUAGCUAGUUGGUGGGGUAAAGGCCCACCAAGGCGACGAUCAGUAGCUGGUCUGAGAGGACGACUCACGCCACACGUGGGACUGGAGACGACCGGCCCAGACCUCCGUACGGGA